This 465-nucleotide ribosomal RNA is filed under the name uncultured bacterium. RNAcentral's name for it is "partial 16S ribosomal RNA". It matches the Rfam family "Bacterial small subunit ribosomal RNA", at positions 338 to 795 of the family's 1533-position model. The record is from RNAcentral.
CCUACGGGAGGCAGCAGUGGGGAAUAUUGCGCAAUGGGCGAAAGCCUGACGCAGCGACGCCGCGUGAGGGAUGAAGGUCUUCGGAUCGUAAACCUCUGUCAGCAGGGAAGAACGGUCACUGUGCUAAUCAGCAGUGAAUUGACGGUACCUGCAAAGGAAGCACCGGCUAACUCCGUGCCAGCAGCCGCGGUAAUACGGAGGGUGCGAGCGUUAAUCGGAAUUACUGGGCGUAAAGCGCUCGUAGGCGGUAUGUCAAGUCAAGGGUGAAAUCCCCGCGCUCAACGUGGGAACUGCAUUUGAAACUGGCAAACUGGAGUGUGUGAGAGGAUAGUGGAAUUCUAGGUGUAGGAGUGAAAUGCGUAGAUAUCUGGAGGAACAUCAGUGGCGAAGGCGACUAUCUGGCACAUAACUGACGCUGAGGAGCGAAAGCGUGGGUAGCAAACAGGAUUAGAUACCCGAGUAGUC